Molecule: long non-coding RNA, 156 nt
Organism: Amblyraja radiata (thorny skate)
Lineage: Eukaryota; Metazoa; Chordata; Chondrichthyes; Rajiformes; Rajidae
Exons: 3
Source: RefSeq, a predicted model, not a curated record
CCUUGUUUCUUGCAGAUGCCUCAGUUUCCUCCACCAUCCCCAAAGCUGUUUUGGCCAAUUGGCUAUAGUAAAUAGCCCCCAAAGUGUAGGUGAGUGGUGGAUACUUGGGGGAAGUUGAUGAGAAUGUGUAGAGAAUUAAAAAAAAAUGGCAUUAAU